AAUUUAAAUGGGACCAAUCGGCACACACCACCUUUCGAUUAAAACAAAAUUUGUCGAAAUCGGUCUACCUGGUCAAAAGUUCUGAUGUAACAUACAUAUAAAAAAAAAAAAAAAAAAAAAAAAAAAAAAAAAAAAAAAAAAAAAAAAAAAAAAAAAAAAAUACAGUCGAAUUGAGAACCUCCUCCUUUUUUGGAAGUCGGUUAAAAAGAUGAAUUUUAUUUUACAAUUUUUCUUUAUACAUUAUGAUACAAAAUUAAUUAUAAAAACCC
Molecule: unclassified non-coding RNA, 269 nt
Filed under: Melitaea cinxia (Glanville fritillary)
Lineage: Eukaryota; Metazoa; Arthropoda; Insecta; Lepidoptera; Nymphalidae
Description: misc RNA ENSMCXG00005008556.1
Source: RNAcentral